This 443-nucleotide ribosomal RNA is filed under the name uncultured bacterium. Its description in RNAcentral is "bacterial SSU rRNA". It matches the Rfam family "Bacterial small subunit ribosomal RNA", at positions 958 to 1399 of the family's 1533-position model. The record is from RNAcentral.
AACGCGAAGAACCUUACCUACCCUUGACAUCCUCGGAAUCUGCUCGAGAGAGUGGAGUGCCUUCGGGAGCCGAGAGACAGGUGCUGCAUGGCUGUCGUCAGCUCGUGUCGUGAGAUGUUGGGUUAAGUCCCGUAACGAGCGCAACCCUUGUCCUUAGUUGCUAACAGGUAAAGCUGAGAACUCUAAGGAGACUGCCGGUGAUAAACCGGAGGAAGGUGGGGAUGACGUCAAGUCCUCAUGGCCCUCACGGGUAGGGCUACACACGUGCUACAAUGGGCAGUACAAAGAGAAGCAAAGCCGCGAGGUGAAGCGAAUCUCAUCAAAGCUGCUCGUAGUCCGGAUUGGAGUCUGCAACUCGACUCCAUGAAGUUGGAAUCGCUAGUAAUCGUGGAUCAGAACGCCACGGUGAAUACGUUCCCGGGCCUUGUACACACCGCUCGCGA